Molecule: ribosomal RNA, 498 nt
Filed under: uncultured bacterium
Lineage: Bacteria
Description: partial 16S ribosomal RNA
Rfam family: Bacterial small subunit ribosomal RNA
Source: RNAcentral
AUUGAACGCUGGCGGCAUGCCUUACACAUGCAAGUCGAACGGUAACAGGUCUUCGGAUGCUGACGAGUGGCGUACGGGUGAGUAAUACAUCGGAACGUGCCUAGUAGUGGGGGAUAACUACUCGAAAGAGUGGCUAAUACCGCAUGAGAUCUACGGAUGAAAGCAGGGGAUCGCAAGACCUUGUGCUACUAGAGCGGCCGAUGGCAGAUUAGGUAGUUGGUGGGUUAAAAGCUUACCAAGCCGACGAUCUGUAGCUGGUCUGAGAGGACGAUCAGCCACACUGGGACUGAGAAACGGCCCAGACUCCUACGGGAGGCAGCAGUGGGUAAUUUUGGACAAUGGGCGCAAGCCUGAUCCAGCAAUGCCGCGUGCAGGAUGAAGGCCUUCGGGUUGUAAACUGCUUUUGUACGGAACGAAAAGCCCCGGGUUAAUACCCUGGGGUCAUGACGGUACCGUAAGAAUAAGCACCGGCUAACUACGUGCCAGCAGCCGCCGUAA